AUCCUUCUCUAAAACAGACCAUAUAUAUGCCAUAAAGCAACUCUUAGCAAACACAAAAAAGUAGAGAUACUACCCUGCAUUCUAUCAGAUCAUAAUGGAAUGAAAUUAGAAAUCAAUGAUAAAAUUAAAAAUAGAAGCUACUCCAACACCUGGAGACUAAAUAAUAUGCUAUUAAAUGAACAAUGGGUUGCAAAAGACACCAAAGAGGAUAUUAAAAAAUUCUUACAGAUAAAUAAGAAUAAUGAUACAACAUAUCAAAACUUCUGGGCACUAUGAAGACUGUACUAAGAGGAAAGUUCAUGGAGUUUAUUCCUUCAAAGAAGAAAAAGUCAAAUAAAUGACCUAAAGCCCUAGAAAAAGAAGGACAAAUCAACAACAAAAGUAAAAGAUAGGAAAUAAUUAAAAUCAGAGUUGAAAUCAGUGAAAUUGAAACAAAAGAAACAAUUGGAAAAAUUGACAAAACGAAAAGUUGGUUCUUUGAAAAAUAAAUAAAAUUGAUAAACCCUUAUCCAUG
Molecule: long non-coding RNA, 514 nt
Filed under: Marmota monax (woodchuck)
Lineage: Eukaryota; Metazoa; Chordata; Mammalia; Rodentia; Sciuridae
Source: RNAcentral